UACGAAGGGUCCAAGCGUAGCGCGGAAUCACUGGGCUUAAAGGGUGCGUAGGCGGGCGUGCAAGUGCCUUGUGAAAGCCCUCGGCUUAACCGAGGAAUUGCUUGGUAGACUGCACGUCUUGAGGUCGAAAGAGGCUGUCGGAACUGUAGGUGUAGCGGUGAAAUGCGUAGAUAUCUACAGGAACGCCAAAGGAGUAAUCAGGCAGCUGGUUCGAUUCUGACGCUGAGGCACGAAAGCGUGGGUAGCGAACGGG
RNAcentral lists this unclassified non-coding RNA (253 nucleotides) under uncultured Phycisphaeraceae bacterium. RNAcentral's name for it is "contains 16S-23S intergenic spacer region". It matches the Rfam family "Bacterial small subunit ribosomal RNA", at positions 524 to 776 of the family's 1533-position model. Lineage: Bacteria; Pseudomonadati; Planctomycetota; Phycisphaerae; Phycisphaerales; Phycisphaeraceae. The record is from RNAcentral.